This 213-nucleotide ribosomal RNA is filed under the name uncultured bacterium. RNAcentral describes it as "partial 16S ribosomal RNA". It matches the Rfam family "Bacterial small subunit ribosomal RNA", at positions 1287 to 1500 of the family's 1533-position model. The record is from RNAcentral.
CCCAGUUCGGAUUGCAGGCUGCAACCCGCCUGCAUGAAGUUGGAAUCGCUAGUAAUCGCGGAUCAGCAUGCCGCGGUGAAUACGUUCCCGGGCCUUGUACACACCGCCCGUCACACCAUGAGAGUCGGGAACACCCGAAGUCCGUAGCCUGACCGCAAGGGGGCGCGGCCGAAGGUGGGUUCGAUAAUUGGGGUGAAGUCGUAACAAGGUACC